CCUACGGGAGGCAGCAGUGAGGAAUAUCGGUCAAUGGACGAGAGUCUGAACCAGCCAAGUAGCGUGAAGGAUGACUGCCCUAUGGGUUGUAAACUUCUUUUAUAUGGGAAUAAAAUGUUCCACGUGUGGGAUUUUGUAUGUACCAUAUGAAUAAGGAUCGGCUAAAUCCGUGCCAGCAGCCGCGGUAAUACGGAGGAUCCGAGCGUUAUCCGGAUUUAUUGGGUUUAAAGGGAGCGUAGGUGGAUUGUUAAGUCAGCUGUUAAAGUUUGCGGCUCAACCGUCAAAUUGCAGUUGAAACUGGAAGUCUUGAGUACAGUAGAGGCAGGCGGAAUUCGUGGUGUAGCGGUGAAAUGCAUAGAUAUCACGAAGAACUCCGAUUGCGAAGGCAGCUCACUGGACUGCAACUGACACUGAGGCUCGAAGGUGUGGGUAUCAAACAGGAUUAGAUACCCUAGUAGUC
This 460-nucleotide ribosomal RNA is filed under the name uncultured bacterium. Its description in RNAcentral is "partial 16S ribosomal RNA". It matches the Rfam family "Bacterial small subunit ribosomal RNA", at positions 338 to 795 of the family's 1533-position model. The record is from RNAcentral.